AUGGCAUUGACCAUCAUUUCAGGAAGUUUCAGAAACGUCUAAGGAGAGUCCUGGAGGGCCUUGGACAUUUUGUGGUUUACUGCCUCUCUUUGAUCCACCAAGACAUGACUGUGCUGAAACCAUCCGUAGAGCACUUGACCUGGGAGUUUCUGUUAAAUUAAUAACAGGUAUGUGAUCUGGACCCUGACUGAAUUAGUCGUCCAUUUAAUCAAUUAGUAGAUAAUGUCUUUACAGAUAUGAAGUUUUCAAUAAUUUUCUUAGAAGUACCAUAAAAGCUAUCAAGGAGCAAAUGUUCUAAAUCAGUCAGUGAAGUUUAUUUUUCAUAAGCAUCAUCAAAUAUAUGAUUCCACCCUUCAAAAGUUUGGAAUAAUUUAUCAAGUAUCCCCAGUAAUAUGUGUCAACCUAUAUCACUCUCCAAUCAUAACCUCUAAAUCUGCAGUGACUAGUAUCUGUUUUCGGUUUGAAUUAUCGCUAAAUAAAGGAUUAAGUUUCUUGUAAUACUCAGUUGAGCUGCCUUGAUGUCAUAGUAUGAAUUUUAUUUCUGCUGCAAUCGCAUUCAAAUAUUUUGUAUUGAUUCAGGAACAACUCUUGUUACGGUUAAACGAUCCUCUUCAAAUAAUACUUCCUUGGACAUGUUAAAAUAAAAAAUGUGAAAAUGCCCUGAAUAUACCACUUACUGGCUUAUGAUAUUCGAAUAAUAUUUUCUUCACAAUUUUUUAGAUGUUAGGUUCAUAAAUUUUCAUAAUAGCUCAAAAUAUAGGCAGGAGGCAUGGCGGGUUGGGAUUUCUUCUUUGAAUAAAUGUUCCAACUGGAAUGUUAUUAUAUAUAUUGAAGAUGCUAAAGAUGUUCUGUGCUAGAACAGGUGAUCAGUUGGUAAUUGCAAAUGAGAGAGGUCGACGGCUUGGCAUGGGAAUAAAUAUGUACCCCUCUUCAUCAUUGUUUGGUCACGACAAGGAUGAAAAUGAAGCCCUGCCUGUGGAUGGACUCACUGAAAAAGCAGAUGGAUUUGCUGGUGUCUUCCCCAGUAACCAAAUCUGCUGAAAGGAUCAAAAUAAUCCAUUUCCUUGUGGCUUUUUCAACUUUAUCCAGUUCAACGCUUUUAAAGAAACUCUUGCUCACAGGAGUGAUAUUACCUCAGAGGAACAUGUUAAAAGAGUGAGAGGUAGAUCCAAAAUUAACAUGGCUUGUUUCACUGGAUCUUCAAAUGACAAAAUAAUGUUCAUGCAGCAGAGUUGAUAAUAAAGUUAAGUUUGUUGUUUCUGUUGUUGUCAUUAAGAAAAGAUGAACACAAGCAAAAAGUUAUGUGUACAGAGAAAUCACAAACCGCUAGUAUAUGACGUAUGCAAGACAUGGAAAUAUACAUGAAACUAAUAACCUAUUACUGCUCUUUCUGUGGAAGUGAUACCUAUCUUGCAUGAAAUACCUGGUCAUUCACUAUAGAAAGUUAUGAAUUUGUUCCUUGUAAUAUCCUUAUUUUAUUUUAGUCUGACAUCAUUCUAUAAAGUGUAACACAUUCUCAAUGUGCUUGUGUUAUGUUCUGGAUUAUUUGCUCAUGCUAAAAUCUUGUAUACACUGUCUGACCCUCUUAAACGAAGUUUCUCACCUCAGAAAUCCUUAAAAGACAUACGAUCUCUCCAUACAAAAGCUCUGUUAGAAAUCUUAGAUUGCAGCUUGUGGCUUUUGCCUUCUUCAUUUUUUUAUUUAUUUAUUUUUUUUUAUUUGCAAAGGAUUGUCCUCGUUUCUUUCUUAUCAUUCCUUCGUUUCUCUCUUUGUCACUUAAAGUGAAUGCUUUAAAUGAAUAAUGGCGAUAUAUUGUUACUAGUAUCUAUUUGUGGGGUUGGGGAUAGGAAAGUGAUAGGCUCCAAUCCACCUCACCUAUUCUAAAAGGAAAUAGAAGAAUUAGCCUACAAAUGGCGGAGGGAAAACUGAAUUCUGUUAGAAAUAGAUCUAUAAAUAAGGGUAGAAUAUAGGAAUAGAGGUAGGCAAAUAUUGAGUAAGGAAUAGGAGUCCUGUAAACGUCUUCAUACUUGUAACUUCUGCGGUUUAUUUCAAUCAAUAUUCCUUUCAGAUUCAAUCUUCUUUUUAGAGUCGUAUCAAAUUGGUAUCAGAGCCGUCAGAUGAAUGGAAUCAAACUUCAAAAACGAGUGGAAGGAGAAAUGGAGUUCAAUAUUCAAUCGGUGGGAGAAGCUGGUAAUGCAACGAGAAGAAGAACGGUACAAUGAUUCAGGACUGGAUUCAUGUGGCCGACUAAAAAUUUCAAUAUUCUAUGGCGAAAACACAAACGAGUGGGUGUCUAAGGUAGAAAAGAUCUUCUCGAGAAAUCAAUUAUUGGAGGCAGAGAAAAUAGAGCCUGCAGUAGCUUGUUUUGACUGGCAAACUUGGGAUUGGUUUCAGUUAAUAGAUCAUUGCCAACCUGUGCGAACUUGGAAAGAGUUGAAGUGGUUGAUGUUGGAUCAAUUUCGCAUUAAGGAGGUCUUCAUGGUUGAAGAAAUUCCAGCGCGUAAGCACUCGGGUGUGAGGAAAGGAGAGAUGUUGGAAGCCCUAGCUUCUUCUUCGACAUAUGAACAAGGACUAUUGUCGGAGGAGGAGAAGACAACGGUGAAGGAAGGGAAGAGAAUGGGAUGGUGAACUGGACGACAGAGAAAGAACAGCCACCAUAAUCGGAGGAAGUGGAGAAGAAGCAUGAGUCCCGAUUUGCGAAUCCUCUGCACCAAGCCAAAAGAUCAUCAGUAGCAGCCAGAACUAGAGGAACUCCAACAGCCACAGAAGGUGCCUGUCCAUUAAUAUCACAGAUGAAGCAAGGGCACACCGUGGAAGAUGAAGGUAAUGAGCGAUUUGGGUCAUAUAUUUUUUCUCGUGAAGUGGUAGGAGGUUUGGAGGGCCUUGUUAAUGGGCUACAGGUGGAAAUGAAAGAAGAGAAAGUGGGGAAGUUAGUGGUUUGGGGCCAUGAUAUGGAGGGAGACCAACACGAAGAUUGCAGAAAUUCAAGCAAGACAACUGAAGGCAGAGUGGGCCAUUUCAUGAAGUUGGCCCAACAUGUAGAAGAUAAGAAUGCUUUAAUGAGAAUGGCCCAACUGAAGUUUUUCCCAAGCAGAAAUAAAAACUCUCUAAGCCCACUACCCUGAAGUACAACAGCCCACCAUUUUACCCAUAUCAAAACACACUCAACACUUAUCCAAAUUACGCAAAUCAUUCCAACGUGACCCAGCGAGCUACAGUUCUUCGUCACCAGAUCACGGCGAAAGGGGGGCCUCCGUUUCAAAAAUUGACCAACGUCAAGCUGCAAGAAAAAAUGGCCAGGGACUGUGUCACUGGUGUAAUAAAAACUACAGCCAAGUCAUGAGUGUAGAAAUAAGGCGCGCCAGGUACGAGUAUUGCAAGAAGAUGAAGAAGGUAGUUUAUGCGAGAAAUUCCUGUCCAUCAAACAUACAAAAACCGUAAAGGAAUUUUGGCUGAACUUUGAGGCUUUUGCAGCACCUUUACUCAACAUUCAGGAGGAGAUUCUGGAUUGUACAUUUGUUUAUGCGUUAAAAUCAGAAACCUGGAUAGAAGUCUGUCUAUUACAACCUAGUGGGUUGGGCUUCAUAAUGAAGAUGGCCUAACUAAUUGUGGACAAAAAUCAAAGGGGUAAGACAGCCCAAGAGCACCUAAGUGGACCCAAAUACAGCAUGCUAGCUACACCUCCAAAUCUGUGGACUUCAAAAGAGACAAAAUUCUUCCCUAAGAGAAACCCUCACAAGGGUUUAUGUACAAAGAACGGGCAAACCGUGACGAUGGAAGAGCGGGCAAUUUGUACCACCAACACUUCCUUGACUCCCACCUUGAGGACAAGGUGGAUUUGGAAACCAGGGAUAGUGAUAGGCUCCAAUCCACCUCACCUAUUCUAGACGGAAAUAAAAGAAUUAGCCUACGAAUGGGGGAGGGAAAACUGAAUUCCGUUAGAAAUAGAUCUAUAAAUAAGGGUAGAAUAUAGGAAUAGAGGUAGGCAAAUGUUGAGUAAGGAAAAGGAGUCCUGUAAACAUCUUCAUUCUUGUAACUUCUGCAGUUUAUUUCAAUCAAUAUUCCUUUCAGAUUCAGUUUUCUUUUUAGAGUCCUAUCAGAAAGAUGACUAAGAACAAAUAAACGAGAAGGAAAGAUCUACCAAACUUGACAUGCAGUACCAACGAACAGGGUGUCAGAUAUAAACAAACCUAAUUAAGAAGGUAUUGCAAUACUUGUUAGGUGAAAAUUGAAAUAGAAAUUGGGCCAUCUAUGGCAGUUUAUUAAACUACAAUAUUCCAUGAUUUUUAUGGUUAAACAGAGUUAUGAAACUGGAUUCUUGAGCGUCA
RNAcentral lists this long non-coding RNA (4328 nucleotides) under Olea europaea subsp. europaea. The record is from RNAcentral. Lineage: Eukaryota; Viridiplantae; Streptophyta; Magnoliopsida; Lamiales; Oleaceae.